UACGAAGGGGGCUAGCGUUGUUCGGAAUUACUGGGCGUAAAGCGCACGUAGGCGGACAUUUAAGUCAGGGGUGAAAUCCCAGAGCUCAACUCUGGAACUGCCUUUGAUACUGGGUGUCUAGAGUAUGGAAGAGGUGAGUGGAAUUCCGAGUGUAGAGGUGAAAUUCGUAGAUAUUCGGAGGAACACCUAUGGCGAAGGCAGCUCGCUGGGACGUUACUGACGCUGAGACGCGAAAGCGUGGGGAGCAAACAGG
RNAcentral lists this ribosomal RNA (253 nucleotides) under uncultured bacterium. Its description in RNAcentral is "partial 16S ribosomal RNA". It matches the Rfam family "Bacterial small subunit ribosomal RNA", at positions 524 to 776 of the family's 1533-position model. The record is from RNAcentral.